Molecule: transfer RNA, 42 nt
Filed under: Frullania eboracensis subsp. eboracensis
Lineage: Eukaryota; Viridiplantae; Streptophyta; Jungermanniopsida; Porellales; Frullaniaceae
Also listed under: 1 other name
Description: partial tRNA-Phe
Rfam family: tRNA
About the family: Transfer RNA (tRNA) molecules are approximately 80 nucleotides in length. Their secondary structure includes four short double-helical elements and three loops (D, anti-codon, and T loops). Further hydrogen bonds mediate the characteristic L-shaped molecular structure. tRNAs have two regions of fundamental functional importance: the anti-codon, which is responsible for specific mRNA codon recognition, and the 3' end, to which the tRNAs corresponding amino acid is attached (by aminoacyl-tRNA synthetases). tRNAs cope with the degeneracy of the genetic code in two manners: having more than one tRNA (with a specific anti-codon) for a particular amino acid; and 'wobble' base-pairing, i.e. permitting non-standard base-pairing at the 3rd anti-codon position.
Source: RNAcentral
GCCGGAAUAGCUCAGUUGGUAGAGCAGGGGACUGAAAAUCCU